This 1431-nucleotide non-coding RNA is filed under the name Pongo abelii (Sumatran orangutan). Lineage: Eukaryota; Metazoa; Chordata; Mammalia; Primates; Hominidae. The record is from RNAcentral.
GGCAGUCGUCGGUAACGUGGCCGCAGCCCGACAGCGUGACGGACGCCAGGUUGGGGCACCUGUGAGGAGAGUGCGGUGAUCCGGGGCUCACUGGCUUGUUAAAGCCACCCAACCGCCCCGGGGGAGUGAGUGGACUCAUUUACCGAGGAGGACUCGGGCCCUGCGAGGUCACUUCAUCCUGGCCCAGGUACAGCAGCUCCAAAUCGUGGGGAUUCUGUAAGAGCUUGCUACCUGCUGACUGAGGAGGCCCACGAGUCGAGGAGAACUAUCAAGAGUGGCACAAAACUGCAGGUCACUGGGCUGGCCACCAGGUAUUCCCACCCACCAGAAGCUGGCUGUUGUACUCACCCGGAACCAUGGUGCACCACCACAGCGGCGAGGUCAUACAGGCAGCUCUCCGGGCCACUGUUCUCAGGCUACAGAACAAGGAAGAAGGCACAGUGGUCAAUGACAUCGGUAUCUUGAUGACCUCUACCCUCUCCAUGUGAUGACAAUCUUACCGAAGAGCCAUUUUUUCACCAUGCUAAAAAGGUAACCACCUUACCUCUAGUAAGUAGCAUUUCAUGUCUAGGCCUCUCAGUGGAAAUUCUACAUAUGUAUCAACUUUAUUUCUUAAAUAUGCUGUCCAGUGAAAUCUUUUCAAAUGUAAGCAUAGCACCUGGAGGACAGAGAUGAGGUCAAAGAUUGUGAACACCUAACUUACCUUUCAGUCAAAGUUUGAUACUACUAUCAGUUCAGUAAAUAACAUUUUAGCUGCCCUAUCAAUCAUUCUUCCUCGCAUACCUUAUGCAUUCAUUCUGUAAAGGGUUCAGCUUUUACUGAAAACCCUAGAGACAAAUACAGAACAGUUCACAUAGUGUAAAGUUAUAGACAUGGUCUUAGCAGUCAAGCAUUUUCCCCUUGAAACUGCUUCGUAACUCAAAAUUCAACACUCACCUUGGGUAGUUUUUGAAUCCAAAACUUUUUUGUGGACUUUUGUUUCUUUUUGCAUUUAUGGCACAUAUAUAACUCUGUCUCAUCAAGUUCUUCUAAGUCGGUAAAACUGCGAAGACAAUCUAAACAAAUAGAUUUUGGCAGCAUUAAAACAAGAUGCCUUUUAUAGAGGCAAUGUACUGUAGAAAAAAGACCCAGGUUUAAAAUCUCAGCUUUAUUAGCUAUACGACCUUAGAAAAGUUAACCUUUCUCAGUUGCGAACUGGAGACAAAAAAUAAUACCUACUUUGAAGAACUAUUGUAAGGAAGAGAAAUAACAUGUGUAGAGCACCUGGCAUCAUGCCUGACAUCUGGUGAUGAUCAAUUGUGUUGGUUUUACUAUUAAUGAAAAUUCAUCUGGAUAAUUCUGAUAAAAUGGUUUCCUGAUAAAUUUAAAGUUUCAAUUGUAGUUUUCUGUCAGUAUGUUAUACAGGACAAAGCUCCAAACUUAUAAAAAAAA